RNAcentral lists this long non-coding RNA (220 nucleotides) under Ananas comosus (pineapple). RNAcentral's name for it is "long non-coding RNA (ACOM_LNC025730)". Lineage: Eukaryota; Viridiplantae; Streptophyta; Magnoliopsida; Poales; Bromeliaceae. The record is from RNAcentral.
UGCAACUUAGUUGAUGGAAUAGUGAUAUGUUGUCGAUGUGGCGAUGUAUGUAGCAGUAUUAUGGUUGAUUCAUGAUACGGAAAUGACUGAUGUGCGACAUAACUAUAUAUCAAUGAUUGCAACGAUUUGAGAAGUUUGAUCGAGUCAAAAAUUAUAAUAAAUUAAAGUUCGAGAACCAAAAACUGUCAUGCCCUUUUAGUUUGAGGGCCAAAAGAGCGAU